Molecule: long non-coding RNA, 1374 nt
Organism: Branchiostoma belcheri (Belcher's lancelet)
Lineage: Eukaryota; Metazoa; Chordata; Leptocardii; Amphioxiformes; Branchiostomatidae
Exons: 2
Source: RefSeq, a predicted model, not a curated record
UAUAUGUACUUGUUCAAAUCGCUUUAGACUUAGUAUUGAUACUUAGAUUAUAAGAAGUGGAUCAAUACAGCUAUAUACACAGUUUGCGUGUUGCUAAGUACAUAUAUUCCUUUUUUCAGACGCCUGUGUGGGAUACUACGAGACCAUUCGAAGGAAGUUUGUGAACAGCCUCCCUGAGAACAAAGAAAAGGCGUUGAAACAGAAGAAGGACAAGAAGCAGCGGUCACGCAGACAAAGGCUGAUGGACGCAAGAGGCACCGCACUCCAAACAGAAGACGAAAGAAGGCUGUGGACUGGAGUGACGGUGGACCUCAUGUCGGACGAGGAGGACGCCGUUUCAAACGGGAUAGCUGUGUGGUUAAUGAAGCCGCCAGCGUUCAGAAGCACACAGCUAUCCCAACUCUGCGGCGUCCUGCAGACCCGACUGGAUACAGGCGGCAAACACAGCGACGGCCGCAAGCCAAGGAUAAGAGAGGAGGCCGCCGUGAGCGACAGGCAGCCCCUGAGAGCUACGACCCCGACCUGGCCCCGCUGCACUUCCGGCCAGGACACCUCCCCCGCCCGGCACGCCGCCCCGGCCUCGCCACCAUUACGAACACCGUCACCAACACCCCACCCCACAGGCCACCAGCCGGGCGGAGUUUAAGCUUCAACGACACAGACGACACCAUGUCCCCGCGCGCCCUUGAGGGCUACAACCAACCCUCGUUUGUUGAGGGAGAGGACAUUUCAGACUCGGAGAAUAUUUCACUUACGCCCUUGUAAAUGACCGGACUUUUGACUUUUGUGACUUUUAUGUACCGUAAUUCUUGAUUUGUUAACUGUCACUUAAUUAUAGCUGAUUUAGCUGUUAGUUUUGUACCGCUAAAAUUUCAGUACCGUAAUACAUUGUAUUUGAACACUUUUGAUCAUCUGCCUUGUCCACACCGCUAAAAUUAAGUGCCGUGAGCUAGUCCAUUUUCCUCCCAACGCUAUAAUUUCCAAACGCAAUAUUAAAUGGAAUUACAGUAGUUUUCAAUGCAUUGUUUAUGUAACUUGUAAGCGUUGUUUAUUUUCUCUUUCAACUACUAGCAAUGUUAGGAUUUACUUGUUUUUAAAGUCUUUGUUUAUGUUGCAUCAUUUGAGGGCACUUCCUGUAAAUUCUUUAGUCUGGUGUCCAGUCUAUCGUUGUUGGAUGGGCUUCGGGGCUGCAGAAGCUCUUCCCCGCUCGACUCAGCUAGGUUACCCGGUAGAUUUUUCACGACGGGAGAAAAACAGCAUCAUCUCCCGUUGUGAAAAACAUACCAGAGAAACCUAGCUUGAUCGGGCGGGGAAGAGCUCCUGCAGCCACGGAGAAAUGGUUCUGUUGAUACGAAUAAAUUUUUCAACGAUGAA